GAAGUGGAGUGGGCAGUCGCGGUGCGCUUGCCGCAUCGAGGAAGGUCCGGACUCCAUAGGGCGGGAUGACGGCUAACGGCCGUGCACGGUGACGUGACGAACAGGGCCACAGAGACGAGUAAGCACCGGGCGACCGGUGUGGACGUGAAACGCGGCAACCUCCAUCUGGAGCAACACCAAAUAGGCAGACGCGCCAGCGGCAACGCUGGCACAGCGCGGCCCGCGCGAGUCUGCGGGUAGGUGGCUUGAGCCCCGCAGCAAUGCUGGGCCUAGAGGAAUGGCUGCCACGGCGUCGGCGAUAAGCCUGCGCUGCACAGAAUCCGGCUUAUAGCUCCGCUUCGCAC
This 344-nucleotide RNase P RNA is filed under the name Thiomonas bhubaneswarensis. Its description in RNAcentral is "Thiomonas sp. S10 Bacterial RNase P class A". It matches the Rfam family "Bacterial RNase P class A". Rfam says of the family: Ribonuclease P (RNase P) is a ubiquitous endoribonuclease, found in archaea, bacteria and eukarya as well as chloroplasts and mitochondria. Its best characterised activity is the generation of mature 5'-ends of tRNAs by cleaving the 5'-leader elements of precursor-tRNAs. The record is from Rfam by way of RNAcentral. RNAcentral also lists the same sequence under 1 other name. Lineage: Bacteria; Pseudomonadati; Pseudomonadota; Betaproteobacteria; Burkholderiales.